Mycena polygramma is the source of this 94-nucleotide non-coding RNA. The record is from the annotation of a GenBank genome assembly. Lineage: Eukaryota; Fungi; Basidiomycota; Agaricomycetes; Agaricales; Mycenaceae.
GCCCUCGUAGAUCACCGGUAGAUCACCCACUACCCUUGUAUUUUUCACCAUGGAAUUUAGGUGGACGACGUGGGUUCGAAUCCCACCGAGGGCG